AGUAGGGAAUCUUCCGCAAUGGACGAAAGUCUGACGGAGCAACGCCGCGUGAGCGAAGAAGGUCUUCGGAUUGUAAAGCUCUGUUGUUAGGGAAGAACAAGUACCGUUCGAAGAGGGCGGUACCGUGACGGUACCUAACGAGAAAGCCACGGCUAACUACGUGCCAGCAGCCGCAGUAAUACGUAGGUGGCAAGCGUUGUCCGGAAUUAUUGGGCGUAAAGCGCGCGCAGGCGGUUCCUUAAGUCUGAUGUGAAAGCCCACGGCUCAACCGUGGAGGGUCAUUGGAAACUGGGGGACUUGAGUGCAGAAGAGGAGAGCGGAAUUCCACGUGUAGCGGUGAAAUGCGUAGAGAUGUGGAGGAACACCAGUGGCGAAGGCGGCUCUCUGGUCUGUAACUGACGCUGAGGCGCGAAAGCGUGGGGAGCAAA
RNAcentral lists this ribosomal RNA (428 nucleotides) under uncultured Anoxybacillus sp. Its description in RNAcentral is "bacterial SSU rRNA". It matches the Rfam family "Bacterial small subunit ribosomal RNA", at positions 353 to 772 of the family's 1533-position model. The record is from RNAcentral. Lineage: Bacteria; Bacillati; Bacillota; Bacilli; Caryophanales; Anoxybacillaceae.